This 496-nucleotide ribosomal RNA is filed under the name uncultured bacterium. RNAcentral describes it as "partial 16S ribosomal RNA". It matches the Rfam family "Bacterial small subunit ribosomal RNA", at positions 28 to 506 of the family's 1533-position model. The record is from RNAcentral.
GAUGAACGCUGGCGGCGUGCCUAAUACAUGCAAGUCGAGCGAACGGACGAGAAGCUUGCUUCUCUGAUGUUAGCGGCGGACGGGUGAGUAACACGUGGAUAACCUACCUAUAAGACUGGGAUAACUUCGGGAAACCGGAGCUAAUACCGGAUAAUAUUUUGAACCGCAUGGUGCAAAAGUGAAAGACGGUCUUGGUGUCACUUAUAGCUGGAUCCGCGCUGCAUUAGCUAGUUGGGAAGGUAACGGCUUACCACGGCAACGAUGCAUAGCCGACCGGAGGGGGUGAACCGCCACUCUGGAACUGACACACGGCCCAGGCUCCUACGGGAGGCAGCAGUAGCGAAUCUACCGAAAAGGGCGAAAGCCUGACCGAGCAACGCAGCGUGAGUGAUGAAGGUCUUCGUAUCGUAUAACUCUGUUAUUAGGGAAGACCAUAUGUGUAAGUAACUGUGCACAUCUUGCCGGUACCGAAACAGAAAGCCACGCCUAACUCCGU